RNAcentral lists this small RNA (476 nucleotides) under Arabidopsis thaliana (thale cress). RNAcentral describes it as "ATSL196080". The record is from RNAcentral. Lineage: Eukaryota; Viridiplantae; Streptophyta; Magnoliopsida; Brassicales; Brassicaceae.
UUGUACAUAAUAGAAGUCAUUAAGGGUUCGGUAUAGUCCCGGUUUAUUCAUUCUAAUUAAAGUGAAUCUCUGGUUUAUUUUUGGUUUAGUUGGUUUGUUGUCUAUACAUUGAUGUAACAAACUUUCUGAUUCAUUAAUGAGAAAUUGAGUUUUUGCCAUGUUCUCUCUCGGAUUCAUGGUUCCUAUUAGGGUUCAAUGUUAUAAACUACAAUCGUUUUCAUGUCAUUUUCUUGUAUUGUAAACAACGUGGUGGUAGUCUAGUAGUAAAUUUCCCAUAUGGAGGUGUUGGGUUCAAGGUAUGUUGGGAAGGAUCUAUUUUUCAAAGGAGAUGUAUUUAAUCUAGACUUAUUAGAAGUGUUGGGUUCGAAGCAUGCUGGAAAAGAUCUCUUGUCUAAAAAAGAUGAAUUUAACCUGGUAUAGGUCUCUGUCUUUGGAAGAUAUAAGGCCUUUGAACUUAAAUUUUCAGAUAUUAAAAA